GCUCAAGUGCAUCCAGAUCAGAAGAAAUCCAAAAGAUGUAUGCGUGUCCAUGUAUAAUAACUUCAGAAACCUCGCUGGCCCGAUGUGCUUUGAAGGAAAUUUUGCGGGAGUUCACGGAAGCAUUUCUGUCGGGUGAACUACCAUAUGGAUCCUACCACGGCUAUCUCAAUAGCUGGACUAGUGAAGUGUCCCCCUUGAACAACCGGUGUUCUAUCUGUACUAUGAGGAUAUGAAAGUCAAUCCCCUAAAGUGGGUUAAAGACAUGGCAAGGUUUCUAGAUCUAGACGUCACAGACAAAUUCUGUGAGGACUUGAUCGAGGCGUGUUCCUUCAAGAACCUGAAGGAGAAGGAGGCCAGACAUAAGCAGGAGGGUAUUGAUCCAGGUAUUUGGAAGAAAGGAGC
Haliotis rubra (blacklip abalone) is the source of this 402-nucleotide long non-coding RNA. RefSeq lists it as uncharacterized. The record is from RefSeq and is a predicted model, not a curated record. The transcript is spliced from 3 exons. Lineage: Eukaryota; Metazoa; Mollusca; Gastropoda; Lepetellida; Haliotidae.